RNAcentral lists this ribosomal RNA (465 nucleotides) under uncultured bacterium. Its description in RNAcentral is "partial 16S ribosomal RNA". It matches the Rfam family "Bacterial small subunit ribosomal RNA", at positions 338 to 795 of the family's 1533-position model. The record is from RNAcentral.
CCUACGGGAGGCAGCAGUAGGGAAUCUUCCACAAUGGGCGCAAGCCUGAUGGAGCAACACCGCGUGAGUGAAGAAGGGUUUCGGCUCGUAAAGCUCUGUUGUUGGAGAAGAACGUGCGUGAGAGUAACUGUUCACGCAGUGACGGUAUCCAACCAGAAAGUCACGGCUAACUACGUGCCAGCAGCCGCGGUAAUACGUAGGUGGCAAGCGUUAUCCGGAGUUAUUGGGCGUAAAGCGAGCGUAGGCGGUCGCUUAGGUCUGAUGUGAAAGCCUUCGGCUCAACCGAAGAAGUGCAUCGGAAACCGGGCAACUUGAGUGCAGAAGAGGACAGUGGAACUCCAGGUGUAGCGGUGGAAUGCGUAGAUAUAUGGAAGAACACCAGUGGCGAAGGCGACUGUCUGGUCUGCAACUGACGCUGAGGCUCGAAAGCAUGGGUAGCGAACAGGAUUAGAUACCCUAGUAGUC